CCGUUUUCUUUAUCAAUGCUCUCUGUAAAUAAUUACCUUGUAUUUGCUGUCUUUUUUUUUUUUUUUUUUCUUUAAAUGUUAUAAUA
Molecule: long non-coding RNA, 86 nt
Organism: Sinocyclocheilus anshuiensis
Lineage: Eukaryota; Metazoa; Chordata; Actinopteri; Cypriniformes; Cyprinidae
Exons: 3
Source: RefSeq, a predicted model, not a curated record